Molecule: long non-coding RNA, 1146 nt
Organism: Glycine soja
Lineage: Eukaryota; Viridiplantae; Streptophyta; Magnoliopsida; Fabales; Fabaceae
Exons: 3
Source: RefSeq, a predicted model, not a curated record
UCAAGUCACCUCAUCAUAAUGAGUUCACAUAAACAACGAUUUCAAAGACCUUUAAAGUACUGCUUCAAUUACGAGUCCACAUAAACAGUGCUUUCAAAGACCUUUAAACUACUUCUUCAAUUUUAUUUCCUGUUUAUUAUCCAUUGUUUGAUUGAUUAACAAUUCAUAAUUAAUAAUAAUUAAUUAUUAAUUAUUAGUGAUGGAGAACUGGAUAUCGUAGAUAUAAACUCUUUAUUUUAGCCUGUUGUUAUUGUCAACUUACUGACAACUCUUUUGUCGUUCUUCCAACACCAAAACCAAAUUCUGCCCGCACCAUGAGUUCGCAAAUAUCCACUGCCUCCACCGUCAUGAACACAAGAAUUAUAUCUACUAUUAUGGGGUUAACUGUGUCAUCAAUGUAUAAUUCCAUAACUUCAUUCAAAUACCAUCACCGUAUCACAGGCAAUGGGCUUCUACUUACCCAUUGUAUGUGUCGUUUGAUUACAAUGGAGACAAACAUUUUAUCAAGGUUAGAAAAGGCAGUAACAAAUUCUAUUUUGCGGAUGGAUUGAAGGACUUCAGAAGAGCGUUGGGUAUUCAAGAAGGCCUGGUGGUUCAUUUUGCUGCACUCGAUAGAAAUACAACCUUUCAUUUGCAUUUCAUGCCACCACUGGACAGACAAACAUCUGGCAGGCCUUACAGUACUACCAUGACUUACGUAUUUACCGUCGAUAUUACCAAUCGUGUUGCCACCUUAUGCUAUUGAUGUCAUUGGACGCACAUCCCAAUAUCUUACUGUUGAACCACCCCGUGGUCGUCAGAUUUGGAGGAUGUCUGCCCAUGAUGGGCUGCAAACUCUGACUACACCUUGGUACCAAUUCUUGACGGACAACAACUUGAUGGCUAUAGAUGAGGUUGUCUUUUAUUACCAGCCAAACCAAGGUGUAUGGGAAAUCAUCCUGAGGAAGGAGAUCACUUGGGAUGAAGACGAGUCCCCCUAAAUGACAGAGAGAAUAGUUAUAACAGUAUUUUUUUACUUUUGUUGUGUUGUAGAAAAACUGAUAUGUUUUUUGCUUUCAAAUACCUUCGCGUAUUAGACAAUAUUAUAUAUGGUGUUCCUCUUGAUUCAGUAUAUGUUAUAAACGUGUUUCUUAUUCACAUGUUGAA